CACUCCUGCGGGAGGCAGCAGUGGGGAAUUUUGGACAAUGGGCGAAAGCCUGAUCCAGCCAUGCCGCGUGCAGGAUGAAGGCCUUCGGGUUGUAAACUGCUUUUGUACGGAACGAAACGGCCUUUUCUAAUAAAGAGGGCUAAUGACGGUACCGUAAGCAUAAGCACCGGCUAACUACGUGCCAGCAGCCGCGGUAAUACGUAGGGUGCAAGCGUUAAUCGGAAUUACUGGGCGUAAAGCGUGCGCAGGCGGUUAUGUAAGACAGUUGUGAAAUCCCCGGGCUCAACCUGGGAACUGCAUCUGUGACUGCAUAGCUAGAGUACGGUAGAGGGGGAUGGAAUUCCGCGUGUAGCAGUGAAAUGCGUAGAUAUGCGGAGGAACACCGAUGGCGAAGGCAAUCCCCUGGACCUGUACUGACGCUCAUGCACGAAAGCGUGGGGAGCAAACAGGAUUAGAAACCCUGGUAGUCCC
Molecule: ribosomal RNA, 471 nt
Filed under: uncultured organism
Description: partial 16S ribosomal RNA
Rfam family: Bacterial small subunit ribosomal RNA
Source: RNAcentral